CCCCUAGAUGUUCUGGGCCGCACGCGCGCUACACUGAACAGUUCAACAAGUCUUAACCUUGGCCGAUAGGUCUGGGUAAUCUUUGAACGCUGUUCGUGAUUGGGAUAGACCUUUGCAAUUAUGGGUCUUCAACGAGGAAUUCCUAGUAAACGCAAGUCAUCAGCUUGCAUUGAUUACGUCCCUGCCCUUUGUACACACCGCCCGUCGCUGCCCGGAACUGAGCCAUUUCGAGAAAAAUGGGGACAGACUGCUUGUGGGUGCGCAAGCACUUCUUGCAGAUUGAAACCAUCUUGAUCGGUAUGGCUUGAACCGGGCAAAAGUCGUAACA
This 328-nucleotide ribosomal RNA is filed under the name uncultured eukaryote. RNAcentral's name for it is "partial 18S ribosomal RNA". It matches the Rfam family "Eukaryotic small subunit ribosomal RNA", at positions 1470 to 1796 of the family's 1831-position model. The record is from RNAcentral.